Molecule: ribosomal RNA, 253 nt
Filed under: uncultured bacterium
Lineage: Bacteria
Description: partial 16S ribosomal RNA
Rfam family: Bacterial small subunit ribosomal RNA
Source: RNAcentral
UACGGAGGGUGCGAGCGUUGUCCGGAAUCACUGGGCGUAAAGGGCGCGUAGGCGGCUCAGUAAGCGUGCGGUGAAAGCCUGGGGCUCAACCCCGGGUCGGCCGUGCGAACUGUCGAGCUCGAGCACUGUAGAGGCAGGCGGAAUUCCGGGUGUAGCGGUGGAAUGCGUAGAGAUCCGGAAGAACACCGGUGGCGAAGGCGGCCUGCUGGGCAGUAGCUGACGCUGAGGCGCGACAGCGUGGGGAGCAAACAGG